Long non-coding RNA from Acromyrmex echinatior (Panamanian leafcutter ant), 372 nucleotides. RefSeq lists it as uncharacterized. Lineage: Eukaryota; Metazoa; Arthropoda; Insecta; Hymenoptera; Formicidae. The record is from RefSeq and is a predicted model, not a curated record.
CGGUCGAUGACGACGUGCGUCAUGUGCGAUGCGAUACGACGCGACUGCGAGCAAAUCGACGGAAGUCGUUCGGAUCUCACUCACACCAGGUGCUUUUUUCGGGUAACGGAACAACCGACGCUUUUGUAUACCUCCGGACGUCUUUUUACCCGGACGUUGUUUUACACGCGAGAGACACUGGUGACUGGAGCGUUCAGCGACAUUUAUCGCUUGUUGUCUUUCACGACGAGAUUGUCUCUCUGUCUGUCUUGCCUGCCUGCCUGCAUGCGUGCGUGCGUACAAACGUAUGUACGUACAUGCAUGCACUCGUCCCCGCGACGCUGCGCGACUCCACGCGACUCUUCGAGCAGACUCGAGAAUGACGUAAACCUC